GAUGAACGCUCGCGGGAGGCCUAACACAUGCAAGCCGAGCGGGAUUUGUUGGUUAGCUUGCUAACUAACAAUGAGAGCGGCGUACGGGUGCGUAGCACGUGUGCAACCUGCCUUUAUCUGGGGGAUAGCCUUUCGAAAGGAAGAUUAAUACCCCAUAACAUAUUGAUUGGCAUCAGUUAAUAUUGAAAGCUCCGGCGGAUAGAGAUGGGCACGCGUAAGAUUAGCUAGUUGGUGAGGUAACGGCUCACCAAGGCUGCGAUCUUUAGGGGGCCUGAGAGGGUGAUCCCCCACACUGGUACUGAGACACGGACCAGACUCCUACGGGAGGCAGCAGUGAGGAAUAUUGGACAAUGGGUGAGAGCCUGAUCCAGCCAUCCCGCGUGAAGGACUAAGGACCUAUGGUUUGUAAACUUCUUUUAUACAGGGAUAAACCUACUCUCGUGAGGGUAGCUGAAGGUACUGUAUGAAUAAGCACCGGCUAACUCCGUG
RNAcentral lists this ribosomal RNA (489 nucleotides) under uncultured bacterium. Its description in RNAcentral is "partial 16S ribosomal RNA". It matches the Rfam family "Bacterial small subunit ribosomal RNA", at positions 28 to 507 of the family's 1533-position model. The record is from RNAcentral.